CUUGGGGAAAGCCUUCACUGUGUAAGCAAAAACAGUAAUAGAAUGUCAGAAUUGGUGAAAAUGUAAUAUGUCCAAUGCAUUACUCUCAUGAAACAUAUAAAUAUGAUGAAUAAUAAAAAGGAACAUAAAAUCAAUAACCUCGAUAUAUCCAAUAAAUUAAAAUAACAAAAUACUACAUGUCAAAUCCCUUAAAUAAUAACAAUAAAAUCCACCUCCGCUGUGUACUUCUAAAGACUCCAUUUCAGAGGGGGAAAACACUUAAUAAUAACAAAACGUUGCUACAAGCCAUCAUGUAGAUCAAGCUAGAUGGCAACUCAAUCAUAUGAAUCAUGCUCUUCUUUAAAAAGAUCACGCAAAUUACUAAAUCCGAUAAAUUAGAUCAUUCUUACUUAAUAAAAAACUAGCAUAUCAACUGACAUGAACUCUUCUUGUUUUGGCAAAUCCUUAUUAAAAAAAUACUGUUUCAACAGUCCAAAUAAUAAGGCAACAAAA
RNAcentral lists this unclassified non-coding RNA (492 nucleotides) under Hevea brasiliensis (rubber tree). Lineage: Eukaryota; Viridiplantae; Streptophyta; Magnoliopsida; Malpighiales; Euphorbiaceae. The record is from RNAcentral.